GUGUUCAAUGGCCGCGGUGUGUGUGUGUGUGGUGAGUGGUGAGGCAAGCGACGCGCCACAAGUAAACAAGUGCAGCCUCCAGUCAGCUGACAAGGGCUCGGCGUGACCUGCAACAACCACAAAAUCCUCGUGAGUGAGCCAGUGAGUAGCAGGAUGUCUGGGGAGGGAGAGCAGAAAGCAGCUGGCAGUGGUGGUGGUGGUGGUGGUGUGGAGGAAGUCCCUGACCCUGAGCUGGACAGUCUGCUGGACGAUGCCUUGCAAGACUUUGUUCAACCUAAGGCCCCAAACCCCAGCCAGGGCCCCACAGUCCCUGCCUCGGCUCCCCUUGGCACUGACCUUGCCUCCCUGGUGACAGCAGCGGGCAUCACUGCAGCAGUGGGUGGUCCAGGUGGUCAGGAAGUACAAGGCAAGCAAGGAGAAAUGUGGACAGAGGAGUUUGUGCAGCAGGCCACAGCACAGUUUGAGCAGACCAUGCGGUUACUCAUGCAGCAGCAGCAGCAGCAACAGGAAGGGAAAGAGAGCCCAGCGGUGGCAGCAACAGCCGCCACCACCCAAGCCUCCAGCACUCCAGCACAGCCUUCAGCUGGGGCACCUGAAGUUGACCUCUCCUCCAUGGCUGCCCAGUUUGCCCAGUUUGCUCAGAUGGCUACCAAGUCAGCAGAAGAGGCAAAGUCUGAUUCAGACUUUACCCAAUGCCUGGCGGACACCCUCAAGCAGAUCGGAGACAACAAUGAGCAGCUUCAGAAUCCUCCAAGUGCAGAUGACCUGACCAAGAUGUUUGAGAAUAUGGGGCUGGGUGGGGGCGAUGCAGCUGGGGGUGAAGGAGGACUGGGCGCAUUGUUCCCACUGAUGCAGGCAAUGCUGGAGAAUGUGCUGUCCAAGGAGGUGCUGUACUCUCCCAUGAAGGACAUCACAGACAAGUACCCUGACUGGCUAGCAGACAACCGCGCCAGCCUGCCGGAGGAGGACUUCACGCGCUACAGCAAGCAGUAUGACAUCAUGAAGCAGGUGGUUGACUUGUAUGAGCAGGAGACUGAGGGAGACUCGGAGGAGGUGCGAGGACAGCGGUUUGAGAAGAUCAUGUUGUCAAUGCAGAAGCUGCAGGAGCUGGGUCAGCCUCCCAAGGACCUGGUGGGUGACAUGGGGCCAGUCAUGUCUUUUGAUCCGUCCGGCAAUCCCGUCUUGCCUGACCUGUCCUCGGUGCUGGGGGCUGCUGGGGUGGUGCCUGGGGCAGGUGGGGAAGGCAGUGCUCCGCCUGGUCAAGGACAGCAGGGGGAAGAGUGCAGCAUCAUGUGAUCCCCACCACCACUGCCACCCCUCCUGACCCCACCCCCCAUCACCACAGCCAGGCCUGCACCAGUGCUUUCCAGAACUGGUACAGCUCCCCAGUGGAAUUGCUUGGUAAAAUUAGUUCAUCGUAUGUUCAGUUCAGCAAGGUGAAGCACUCAAUAGUUGGAAUCCUGUUGUGUUCCUGUGAUGGCAUUGUUCUGAAGGGUUGGUGCAAAGACACAGGUUUCUUUCCUAAAUGCUCCUGAUAGGCUCAACUCAGGAGCUUAAGACUCUGUACAUAGUGUGAAAUAAACUUGGAAGCUUU
RNAcentral lists this unclassified non-coding RNA (1594 nucleotides) under Portunus trituberculatus (swimming crab). Its description in RNAcentral is "peroxisomal biogenesis factor 19-like, transcript variant X1". The record is from RNAcentral. Lineage: Eukaryota; Metazoa; Arthropoda; Malacostraca; Decapoda; Portunidae.